GAAUAAGCAUCGGCUAACUCCGUGCCAGCAGCCGCGGUAAUACGGGGGAUGCAAGCGUUAUCCGGAUUUAUUGGGUUUAAAGGGUGCGCAGGCGGACAUAUAAGUCAGGGGUGAAAAGUCAUAGCUUAACUAUGAUCGUGCCUUUGAUACUGUAUGACUAGAGUUCAAAUGACGUAACUGGAAUGUGACAUGUAGCGGUGAAAUGCUUAGAUAUGUCACAGAACGCCGAUCGUGAAGACAGGUUACGAAUUUAUGACUGACGCUCAUGCACGAAAGCGUGGGGAUCAAACAGGAUUAGAUACCCUGGUAGUCCACGCUGUAAACGAUGAUCACUCGUUGUUGGGUAGUAAUAUUCAGUGGCUAAGCGAAAGCGAUAAGUGAUCCACCUGGGGAGUACGAUCGCAAGGUUGAAACUCAAAGGAAUUGACGGGGGCCCGCACAAGCGGAGGAGCAUGUGGUUUAAUUCGAUGAUACGCGAGGAACCUUACCCGGGCUUGAACGUAAUACGACUAUACUGGAGACAGUAUAUCCUUAGGGCGUAUUGCGAGGUGCUGCAUGGUUGUCGUCAGCUCGUGCCGUGAGGUGUUAGGUUAAGUCCUGCAACGAGCGCAACCCUUACACAUAGUUGCCAGCACGUCAUGGUGGGGACUCUAUGUGAACUGCCUACGCAAGUAGAGAGGAAGGUGGGGAUGACGUCAAAUCAGCACGGCCCUUAUGUCCGGGGCUACACACGUGCUACAAUGGCAUAUACAGAGGGCAGCUACCGGGUGACCGGAUGCGAAUCUUCAAAGUAUGCCUCAGUUCGGAUUGGAGUCUGUAACUCGACUCUAUGAAGUUGGAUUCGCUAGUAAUCGCGCAUCAGCCAUGGCGCGGUGAAUACGUUCCCGGGCCUUGUACACACCGCCCGUCAAGCCAUGGAAGCCUGUGGUACCUAAAGUCCGUGCCCGCAAGGAGCGGCCUAGGGUAAAACCGGUAACUGGGGCUAAGUCGUAACAAGGUA
Molecule: ribosomal RNA, 1000 nt
Filed under: uncultured bacterium
Lineage: Bacteria
Description: bacterial SSU rRNA
Rfam family: Bacterial small subunit ribosomal RNA
Source: RNAcentral